RNA transcript from Daphnia magna, 2579 nucleotides. RefSeq lists it as uncharacterized. The transcript has 4 exons. The record is from RefSeq and is a predicted model, not a curated record. Lineage: Eukaryota; Metazoa; Arthropoda; Branchiopoda; Diplostraca; Daphniidae.
UACUGACGUAGUACAGUAAGAAUGUAGGACAAGUUCGAACUAGGAAUGGUGAUACAGAAUAUGGAGAGGAUGAAGAUAAGUUUAAAGCUGUAAGCCGUUAUACGCAAACUGACAUUGUCAGUGAUAACUCCAUACAUGUUACGUAAUAGACGAACGAAUCAUUAUUGAUGUGACAACAAUUUCCCUCCUCGUCACCACUCUGUUGUCAUAAGCAGUAAUGGAUUUCCACCAUUGUGCUCCGUGAAUUUCUUUUGAAAUAGAUACGUAAAUAUUUCUUCUUUUGAAUUCGAACUUAGAUUUUAAUUAGAGAUAUUUCUGAAUAUAAAUAUUCGAAAAAAUGGUUGCCUCUUGGUGCUUGCCACCCCAUCGCUGAACAUUGAAAUGUAUAAGGCAUUAAAAUCCAUGAUUAUUGACUUAUGCAUUUUGAACUCUGAAUCUGUAAACUGAUACAACGCACUACUUAAAUCAAAGAAUUCAGAAAGCUAAAAACUCGAAAACAUAUUCACAGAAAAUGUUUGCAAUGAAGGCACUUAGCAGCGUUGACGUUCAGGAAGAGUAUCGCAACAUAACUAACCUAUGUAGAAGAAUAACCAAUCUGCAAGAACAAGUUUUGUCAGUAGGCCCCGUUUCUGAUCACUCAAAAUGCCUAUUAAAUGGGGUGCUUGAACAGGCUAAACAAGAGCUUACUUCCACUACUUCUCAUAUUCUUCUUCUAAGAAGAGAGGCCGAUGAAUUGACCAAGCGUUCACUUGCCGCUCACCCAAAGCUGGAAGCUUUCAGUUUGGAAUGUGAAACCCUAAAGAAGCAAAUUACCGAACUUGAGCAAACUAAAAACUUUUUGAUUGCUUCGCAAUCCCAACUGAAAAACGACUUAAUGUCUGUCUAUCAAUCCAAGAACCAGCGAAUCGCAGAAUUAGAAGAAAAACUGGCGAAGAGCAGCGAAAGUAACCUGGCAUCAAAAGUGGUUGGAUACGAGCGGGAAUUAAGGACCAAACUCGAGGCAAGGGAAUCGGAAGAACAAAACUCGAAAGGGGAGAAAAUUCUCUCAUCGUCACCGGAAACCAAGUCAGAUUUACCCAAUCAGGAUCCGGUUACUGCAACUUUGCAAGCGAGUUCCUGGACGUCAGAAUCGGUUGAAAUAGCGGCUAAACGAACACGUGAUCCUGGGCCAAUUCCGGCACGCGAUUUCAUCGUCGUUUCAAAGGUAGAGCAAAUUGAACAAAUCAAUACGCUUGUAAUAACGAAUAUUCCCAACUGCGACUACGGCCGCGUGGUUGGUCGUGAAGGAAGAAACGUGGAACGUCUAAGAAAGAACUAUGGCGUUACAAUUAGCUUUGUCGACUCCCAUAAAGAUCUGAAGCUGUUCAUACUUGGAGCGAAUGCAGAAAAUCGCCGUGCAGCCGCUGAUGACAUCAUUAAAAAUUUGCCAUUGGUUGUUGAAUGUCCAAACUUAAGGUCACAAAUCAGCAAUCGAGAGAUCAAGCAGAUCAACCGUGACUGCCACGUACAAAUAAUUCUGCCAAACUUCGCUAAUAACAAUUACUUCACGAUUCGCGGAACAAUGGAUAACUGUCAGAUGGCUUAUCGACUACUUUCAAAUCACGCAAAACUUUGAAUGUAGCAGUCGUUGGGAACGAACCAUCCUGCCAGACUGGUGCAUCGUUGGCUGCACGUUCGGAGAUUUUCUGAUGGAUGACGGGGUGAAAAAUUCUCUGAGAAGCCAGUUUCCAAUUUGUUAGGUGAAAAUGGGAAUUUGAACAAAGAUGAACGUUUGGGUGGCGCUCUGACGAAUUCUGGAAACAUCGGUUUAUGGGAAGUAAACUUUCCUUUCUAGAAAUUGUUAUUACCGUGAGGAGCAACCGUCCCAAUUCAUGUAAAGAAAAAUGUUUCACUAGCGGUGCCUUAACGAGAUACAGCAUUGUCAUGAAUAGUACCAGCUGCGUAUAUUGGAAGCAGCGUUUGAAUUCUUCCGGCGAUAUCAUCCUGCAGCGAUUAUGAAAUGGAUGAUCUCGCCACAGAGAUUUGCGCUCUGCCUUAAUCCAGAAUUUCCCCAUGAACAAUUCAUGAAAUUUCUUCUUCUCAUUUUACGGAAAGCAAAUUUCGAAAAACUAGACGUUUUGAGUACUUCCGAAUGGAUUAUCCACCAGCAGCUUAAGAAAUGGAUGAUCUCCUCAAAGAUAACUCCGCUCUACAGAACAAGGACAGAAUCCAGUUGGCUAAUCCUUUAAUCUGUCGGCACAUUCUAAAAAGGGAUAAUCCUUUCUCUCAUGCACAUGGCUGACGGAAGUCUUUGAAAGGAUUUCCGUUCUUUCCAACAAAUGAGGAAGAAGACUGCACUGGAAUGUUUUUUUCCUCUUAUAAAAAGACCGAUUCCCUACGUCGAAUUCACCAUUCAGUCGUUGCUCUCUGCCACGCUCACAUCCCGCUACUUACGUUAAGAUUGUUCCCCAUUUGUUUCCAGUCCAAAAUUUUCGAAAUCAACUCGUCAACGCCAUUUUUACGACGAAGCUCAAUUAGCUGUUCUUAACGCAGAGUUUGCUAGAGAUUCGUUUCCCAGCCGAGAAUGUCGACUCCGUAUU